UAGGGAAUAUUGCAUAAUGGGCGAAAGCCUGAUGCAGCAACGCCGCGUGUGCGAUGAAGGCCUUCGGGUCGUAAAGCACUUUUAGAGAGGAUGAGGAAGGACAGUACUCUCUGAAUAAGCCUCGGCUAACUACGUGCCAGCAGCCGCGGUAAAACGUAGGAGGCGAGCGUUAUCCGGAUUUACUGGGCGUAAAGCGCGUGCAGGCGGUAAGGAAAGUUGGAUGUGAAAGCUCCCGGCUUAACUGGGAGAGGUCGUUCAAAACUACCUAACUAGAGUAUGGGAGAGGGAAGUGGAAUUCCGGGUGUAGUGGUGAAAUGCGUAGAUAUCCGGAGGAACACCAGUGGCGAAAGCGGCUUCCUGGUCCAAGACUGACGCUCAGACGCGAAAGCUAGGGUAGCAAACG
This 403-nucleotide ribosomal RNA is filed under the name uncultured bacterium. RNAcentral's name for it is "bacterial SSU rRNA". It matches the Rfam family "Bacterial small subunit ribosomal RNA", at positions 355 to 774 of the family's 1533-position model. The record is from RNAcentral.